UGAUAGCUCAGUUGGUAGAGCAUGGGACUCUUAAUGCCAGGAUUGUAGGUUCUAGCCCCACAUUGGGCAAAA
Podarcis lilfordi (Lilford's wall lizard) is the source of this 72-nucleotide non-coding RNA. Lineage: Eukaryota; Metazoa; Chordata; Lepidosauria; Squamata; Lacertidae. The record is from the annotation of a GenBank genome assembly.